Molecule: long non-coding RNA, 689 nt
Organism: Xenia sp. Carnegie-2017
Lineage: Eukaryota; Metazoa; Cnidaria; Anthozoa; Malacalcyonacea; Xeniidae
Exons: 7
Source: RefSeq, a predicted model, not a curated record
AGAACGAAGAAUAGUAUAUUAAGAUGGAGUUGUGCAAUCCAAGAAUAAUUCCCAAACUUGUUGAUCUUCAGAAUGGAGCUAUAUUGAACAAGUCAUUUCAACCACACGAAGCUCAUGUUCCUUAUAUUCUACAGAUAAAAAUCUUUCAUAUAAUAAUAAAUCAAUUCCACUUCAUGGUUCAUCUCCAAAUUCAUUUCUCAAUUUUCCUUCAUCUCAACACUGGAUUGAAGACACUAUUCCUAGAAAUUUAUGCCUGGAUCCAACUGUGAAAAAAGUCAGUCGUUGUGAACUUGAAGUUGAUGUAAUUGCUGAAGACAUCUUGAAUCAAAUAAUGUUGAAAGUUGUAUUGGUCAUAAUCCUGGUAUAACUGCUAUGUGGGAAGAUGAAAGACAACGAAGACGAGAUAUUGGACUAUCUUCACAAGUUGCUCUUCCUGUUUCACAAGAAUCAAAAUCAAAAUGUUUCCUGAUUUUAUCGAAAAUACUCAAAAUAUCUGUGAUGCCAAAAACAACUGUUGACAGACUUCCCAGUCUCAGUGACAACGUCUUUGAAUUUUAUGACAUUGUGUCAACAUGGAUUUUAAUGUCGUGCAGCGCACUCGUUUAGAAAGUAAAGAUCAGUAAAGAUUAAGCUUGGAAAUAUUCUUCAAUUUAUGUGGUGGUAAAUUUCUGGACUUCUAUUCACCUAAC